Molecule: RNA transcript, 4514 nt
Organism: Arachis duranensis
Lineage: Eukaryota; Viridiplantae; Streptophyta; Magnoliopsida; Fabales; Fabaceae
Gene name: putative disease resistance RPP13-like protein 1
Exons: 3
Source: RefSeq, a predicted model, not a curated record
UCCUCUGAAAUCAGUAAAUUAUUGAAAAGGAAACAUCAUUUUGUCCGAAGACCAUAAACCUCAUCAAGUCAAUUUCACUCACCACACCAACCAAGCGCUUCCCUUAGCUUCUGCUUGAGAGUUGAGAAAACCCAGAGACUAUAUUGCAAAUUGUGAACCCUUUCCUGAUCCAUUACCUUUCUUUCUUUCUUCUGACUUCUGAUCCCAUCUCAUCUGCUUCACUUGAGAUUCAACCAUGGCUGACAAACUUUAUGGUGGAGCUUACCUCUCUCCCUUUGUUAAUACUGUUUUGGACAACGUGUCUUCAAUACUUGAAGAUGACUCUGUCCUCUAUGGAAACGACUCUGCCCUUGAGUUGCUUGGAAGGUUGCAGAAUUGUCUGUAUGAUGUUGGACCUGUUCUUGAUGAUGCUGAGCUGAAGCAGUUCACUGACAAGAGAGUCAAGAAGUGGCUUCUUGAUCUCCAAGAGGCUCUCUAUUUCGUUGAUGACUUUCUCGACGAACUCUCCACUAAAGCCGCCAUUGAUGCCACUCAAAGGGAACCAGGUAACUCUUCCUCCUGGUCUCGUCUGGUUGAUUCAUAUAUUGAAGAUAGUGGUUACUUGGAAAAAAUAGUUCGAAGACUAGAGUCUGUUGUAGCACGCAAAAAUUAUCUUCGUCUAAAGGAGAGUGCCAAGGUGGACAUGUCAUGGAGAAUUCCAUCCACAUGUCUUGUUGAACCAUCGGAGAUAUGUGGCAGGAAAGAAGACAAGGAGGCCAUACUGAAACUGUUGUUGGAUGAUGAUGAUGAUGCUGCUGAUGGUGAUUUAUCUGUGAUUCCCAUUGUGGGCAUGGGCGGAAUAGGAAAGACUACUUUGGCCCAAUUGCUUUACCACGAUGACAAAGUGAAGGAGAAUUUUGAUUUUCGAGGAUGGGUUUGUGUGUCAGAAGAGUUUGAUAUUGUCAAGGUCACCAAAACUAUAAUCGAGGUAAUAACUUCGAGUUCUUGUAACUUGACAGAUUUGAAUUUACUUCAGCUUGAUUUAAAGGAAAAGUUGUCGAGGCAAAAGUACUUCAUUGUCUUGGACGACGUAUGGAAUGAAAAUUAUAGUGAUUGGGAUAAGCUUCUAAAACCUUUUCAGAAGGGGGUUAAGGGAAGUAAAAUUCUAAUAACCACUAGAAACAAAAAUGUAGCUUCUUUAGUGCAGACUGUUUCACCUCAUGAACUAAGAUCAUUGUCCGAUGAAGAUUGUUGGUUGGUGUUUACAAAGCAUGCACGUCUGUCAACUGUUUCUGUGGAGAAUCCAACCCUGGAAAAAAUCGGCAGAGAUAUCGUAAAGAAGUGUGAUGGAUUGCCCUUGGCAGCUCAAGCCCUUGGAGGCAUAUUGCGUGGAAAUUCUGAUAUCAGAUAUUGGAAUCAUUUACUGAAGAGUGAAAUCUGGAAACUCUCCCAUGACAGAAUAAAUGUUGUUCCAGCGUUAAUGAUAAGUUAUUAUUUUCUUCCUUCAUAUUUGAAGCAAUGCUUUGUUUAUUGUUCCUUGUAUCCCAAGGACUAUGAAUUUAGCAAGGAUGAAUUGAUGCUGUUAUGGAUGGCAGAGAAUAUUUUGCAACCGGUAGAAAAAAAGACUAUAGAAGAAGUUGGUGGUGAAUAUUUUGAUGAAUUAAUUGCGAGAUCAUUUUUGCAACCUCAUAGUACCGAGGAAAAUAAAUUUGUGAUGCAUGAUCUUGUUCAUGAUUUAGCAAUGACAUGUGCUGGAGAAUUCUAUUUCAGAGCUGAAGAGCUUCGAAAUUCAGUUGAGGUUGAUAUUAAAGCUCGUCAUUUGUCACAUAACGCCAAAGGUAAUUAUCCAAUGUCAAAUCUUUUGGGAGUUUGUGAUAGACUAAAACAUACAAGGACAUUUCUUGAAAUCAAUCUGUACACGUGGAUUCCAUUCAACAUGGAAAACGCACCUUGCAUCUUGUUGUCACAUUUGAAGUACCUGAGAGCCUUGUCGUUCAAACGCUUUCCUCUUGAGUCAGUGCCUGAUUCAAUAGGUGAGUUGAUUCAUUUGCGUUACUUGGAUCUGUCCGAGUCCUACAUUGUUACAUUGCCGGAGUCAUUGGGUAACCUGUAUAACUUGCAGACCUUGAAGUUGUAUUGUUGUAGAAAUCUGAAAAUGCUACCUGUUUGCAUGAAAGACCUUGUAAAUUUGCGCCAUCUUGAUAUCAGAGAAACUCGUGUGGACGAGAUGCCUAAAGGCAUGAGCCAGUUGAAAAAUAUGCAGUUUUUAAGCAACUAUGUUGUUGGGAAGCGUGAAGAGAACAAGAUCACAGAAUUGGGAGCACUUGCAGAUCUACAGCAAUCAAUUUCCAUUGCCGGUUUGGAGAAUGUGGUGAACAGCAGUGAAGCUUCGAUGGCAAGAAUGUUUGAUAAGGAUGGCAUUUGCUCUUUGGAGUUGAGUUGGUCGCCAGAUGAAGAUGAGAAUGAAGUUGAUUCCCAAAUAGAAAGAGAUAUACUCGACAAGUUACAACCUCACACUAAUUUGAAAGAACUAAAAAUCCGGGGUUACAGGGGUACAACAUUUUCAGAUUGGCUGGGAAGUUCUUCCUACCACAACAUCACGAAAGUAUUUCUGUCUGGUUGCAAGAAUUGUUGUAUGCUUCCUUCACUUGGACAAAUGCCCUCUUUGAAGCGCCUAUCAAUUUCAGGUUUUGAAAGUGUGGAAAUUGUGGGUGCUGAGUUUUACUUUUACCAGAACGAUGAAUCUUGUUUGGAGACUCCAUUUCCAAAGCUUGAAAGUCUUGGGUUUUAUUCCAUGCCUUGCUGGAAGGAGUGGCGUUCAUUGGAGUUGAAUGCAUUUCCUCGACUUAGGGAGCUUACCAUAAGGGAGUGUCCGAUGUUGAGAGGAGAUUUGCCAAAUCAACUUCCAUCUUUGCAAUCACUUAAGAUUCAGAAGUGCGAUGAGCUGAGUUGUUGUGUUCCAAGGGCUCCUGCGAUUACCAGUCUUUCAAUUUCAGGAAAGCAUCUGGUGGGGUCCGUGGUGGAGGCCAUUACCAACACGCAACCGACUUGCCUCACUUCUUUACGCAUCUCAGAUUGUUCCUCCCACAUAUGGUUUCCUGUGAGUGCUAUUCCCCCAUCACUACGAAAGUUGAGGAUACGGGAUUGCAGAAAAUUAGAAUUCGAAAUGGAUGGCCAACGCCACUCACUUCAGCAACUAUACAUACGUAGCAGCUGUGAUUCACUUGCGUCCUUCUCCUUGUUGGAUUCCUUUCCGAAUCUCGUGGGUGUUGAGAUCAAGUACUGUGGAAACAUGGAGUCUAUUGUGGUGUCACGCUCUCUUUCAUGUCUCCGUUAUUUAUGGAUCAAGCAUUGUGGGAUUUUGAAAUCCGUGUCGACGAUAUGGAUGACAGCACCUCAGCUAGAGCGUCUCUCAUUAGUGGGUUGCCCAGAGAUCGAUUUGUGUGCUCCAGGGGUUCCACACCGUAGCCUCAGAUUUCUUGGAAUCAGCUACUGCGAGAAACUAGUGAGCACUGCAGUAUUCAUGAAUUCCCAAUUUCACGGGCUAACUAGUCUUUGUAUUUAUCGUGAAUGUGAGAGUGUGAAGUGUCUCCCAAAGGAAGGUUGGUUGCCUGCCUCCCUUGAGUCUCUCACACUGUAUGGCAUGAAAAGUGUGGAGACGUUGGAAUGCAACGGACUUGCCCACCUCACCUCCCUCCAACAUUUAUACAUUUAUGAAUGUCCCAAGUUGGAGAAUAUGGAGGGUGAAAAGCUGCCUGCCUCUCUAAUAAAACUAAGCAUCUAUAGAAGCCCUUUGCUGGGCAAUCGAUGUCAGAAGAAGGAUCCACAGCUUUGGCCCAAAAUCUCCCACAUCCCCGCCAUUCAAGUUGAUGACACAUGGAUUUGGUAAUCCAACAACUUCAACAGAGUAUUCACUCAUUGCAGUACUCUUACAUGCUUUGAUACUUGCUUCAGACCCUUAGGCAUGGGAGUUGGGACAUGAUGAAAUUAGAUGAUGAAAUCUACCGUGGGGGAAGUGUACAGUAUACCCUUGAAGGACACAGCUCAUAUGGGAAACAAUUCAAAAUUCGUUUAUCCAAAGGCAGAACUGAGAUUGAGGCUGCUGAUAAGCAAAGAAGGGAGUGCUCUGAUAUAGGCGUCACAAUUGGUGCAACAAUUUGAAGUUCUUUAUGAGGUUCAAGAUCCUUGAGAAUGCCAAACGGACACUCUCAAGGAGAAUAGAAGUCGCGCUGCGACUCCUUCUAAAGAAGUGGCUAGGAAUCAGUAAAGAAACUUGAUAUCAUGGUCACUGAGAUCUCCAUUGAUCUGAGUUCGAAUUACAAAUAUUGUUCACUCACUGUUUGUGGUGUAUGCUUUCCUUUCCUUUAAGUACUUCAUAGUUAUUAUGUUAGUAAGUAAUGUGUGAUUAGUUGUAACAUGGAAAGGGAUAACUUAGUUGUACUUGAAGAAGAGAGUAUUCAAUAAAUAGUAGAUGUUUUUGGCCCCAGUCUGAUUCCCUAAUGGCAAUGCCGAAGGGGGAUAGAGGCUGGUGGUAA